UGUGCCAGCAGCCGCGGUAAUACAGAGGGUGCGAGCGUUAAUCGGAAUUACUGGGCGUAAAGCGAGCGUAGGUGGCUUGAUAAGUCAGAUGUGAAAGCCCCGGGCUUAACCUGGGAACGGCAUCUGAUACUGUUAGGCUAGAGUAGGUGAGAGGAAGGUAGAAUUCCAGGUGUAGCGGUGAAAUGCGUAGAGAUCUGGAGGAAUACCGAUGGCGAAGGCAGCCUUCUGGCCAUCAUACUGACAAUGAGGUUCGAAAGCGUGGGUAGCAAACAGGAUUAGAUACCCUGGUAGUCCACGCCGUAAACGAUGUCUACUAGUCGUUGGGUCCCUUGAGGACUUAGUGACGCAGCUAACGCAAUAAGUAGACCGCCUGGGGAGUACGGCCGCAAGGUUAAAACUCAAAUGAAUUGACGGGGGCCCGCACAAGCGGUGGAGCAUGUGGUUUAAUUCGAUGCAACGCGAAGAACCUUACCUGGUCUUGACAUAUCUAGAAUCCUGCAGAGAUGCGGGAGUGCCUUCGGGAAUUAGAAUACAGGUGCUGCAUGGCUGUCGUCAGCUCGUGUCGUGAGAUGUUGGGUUAAGUCCCGCAACGAGCGCAACCCUUGUCCUUAGUUACCAGCGGUUUGGCCGGGAACUCUAAGGAUACUGCCAGUGACAAACUGGAGGAAGGCGGGGACGACGUCAAGUCAUCAUGGCCCUUACGACCAGGGCUACACACGUGCUACAAUGGUAGGUACAGAGGGCAGCUACACAGCGAUGUGAUGCGAAUCUCAAAAAGCCUAUCGUAGUCCAGAUUGGAGUCUGCAACUCGACUCCAUGAAGUAGGAAUCGCUAGUAAUCGCGGAUCAGAAUGCCGCGGUGAAUACGUUCCCGGGCCUUGUACACACCGCCCGUCACACCAUGGGAGUUGAUUGCACCAGAAGUGGUUAGCCUAACCUUUUAGGAAGGCGAUCACCACGGUGUGGUUGAUGACUGGGGUGAAGUCGUAACAAGGUAACCGA
This 1001-nucleotide ribosomal RNA is filed under the name uncultured bacterium. Its description in RNAcentral is "bacterial SSU rRNA". It matches the Rfam family "Bacterial small subunit ribosomal RNA", at positions 504 to 1503 of the family's 1533-position model. The record is from RNAcentral.